This 163-nucleotide ribosomal RNA is filed under the name uncultured bacterium. RNAcentral's name for it is "partial 16S rRNA". It matches the Rfam family "Bacterial small subunit ribosomal RNA", at positions 356 to 511 of the family's 1533-position model. The record is from RNAcentral.
GGAAGUACUUCGGCAAUGGGGCGAACCCUGACCGAGCAACGCCGCGUGAGUGAAGAAGGUCUUCGGAUCGUAAAACUCUGUUGUUAGAGAAGAACACGAGUGAGAGUAACUGUUCAUUCGAUGACGGUAUCUAACCAGCAAGUCACGGCUAACUACGUGCCAG